UUCUACUGCCAUACAACGCUGAACGUGCCUGAUCUUGGAAGCUAAGCAGCGGUGGGACGGCUUGGUACUUGGAAGGGAGAAGGAUGUUUGAUUUGGCAA
Molecule: ribosomal RNA, 99 nt
Filed under: Cebus imitator (Panamanian white-faced capuchin)
Lineage: Eukaryota; Metazoa; Chordata; Mammalia; Primates; Cebidae
Source: RNAcentral